Molecule: ribosomal RNA, 158 nt
Filed under: Xylobolus annosus
Lineage: Eukaryota; Fungi; Basidiomycota; Agaricomycetes; Russulales; Stereaceae
Also listed under: 6 other names
Description: 5.8S ribosomal RNA
Rfam family: 5.8S ribosomal RNA
About the family: 5.8S ribosomal RNA (5.8S rRNA) is a component of the large subunit of the eukaryotic ribosome. It is transcribed by RNA polymerase I as part of the 45S precursor that also contains 18S and 28S rRNA.
Source: RNAcentral
CAACUUUCAACAACGGAUCUCUUGGCUCUCGCAUCGAUGAAGAACGCAGCGAAAUGCGAUAAGUAAUGUGAAUUGCAGAAUUCAGUGAAUCAUCGAAUCUUUGAACGCACCUUGCGCCCUUUGGUAUUCCGAAGGGCACACCUGUUUGAGUGUCGUGA